This 497-nucleotide ribosomal RNA is filed under the name uncultured bacterium. Its description in RNAcentral is "partial 16S ribosomal RNA". It matches the Rfam family "Bacterial small subunit ribosomal RNA", at positions 28 to 507 of the family's 1533-position model. The record is from RNAcentral.
GAUGAACGCUGGCGGCGUGCCUAAUACAUGCAAGUCGAGCGAACGGACGAGAAGCUUGCUUCUCUGAUGUUAGCGGCGGACGGGUGAGUAACACGUGGAUAACCUACCUAUAAGACUGGGAUAACUUCGGGAAACCGGAGCUAAUACCGGAUAAUAUUUUGAACCGCAUGGUUCAAAAGUGAAAGACGGUCUUGCUGUCACUUAUAGAUGGAUCCGCGCUGCAUUAGCUAGUUGGUAAGGUAACGGCAUACCAAGGCGACGAUGCAUAGCCGACCUGAGAGGGUGAUCGGCCACACUGGAGCUGAGACACGGUCCAGACUCCUACGGGAGGCAGCAGUAGGGAAUCUUCCGCAAUGGGCGAAAGCCUGACGGAGCAACGCCGCGUGAGUGAUGAAGGUCUUCGGAUCGUAAAACUCUGUUAUUAGGGAAGAACAUAUGUGUAAGUAACUGUGCACAUCUUGACGGUACCUAAUCAGAAAGCCACGGCUAACUACGUG